UACGUAGGGUCCGAGCGUUGUCCGGAAUUAUUGGGCGUAAAGGGCUCGUAGGCGGUUUGUCGCGUCGGGAGUGAAAACACGGGGCUUAACCCCGUGCCUGCUUCCGAUACGGGCAGACUAGAGGUAUGCAGGGGAGAACGGAAUUCCUGGUGUAGCGGUGAAAUGCGCAGAUAUCAGGAAGAACACCCGUGGCGAAGGCGGCUCUCUGGGACGGUACUGACGCUGAGGCGCGAAAGCUAGGGGAGCAAACAGG
RNAcentral lists this ribosomal RNA (253 nucleotides) under uncultured bacterium. RNAcentral's name for it is "partial 16S ribosomal RNA". It matches the Rfam family "Bacterial small subunit ribosomal RNA", at positions 524 to 776 of the family's 1533-position model. The record is from RNAcentral.